UACCCUCACAAGUCCAGCCAAAAAGCCGCACCGGUGUGGUUGAAAAUGAGCCACCGCCGCCGCUUCCUUCCCCCACGUCGGCGGUCUCUCUCCACCGCGAGCCGCCCUCCUCCUUCCCCGACGCCGGCCGCCUCCCUCCACCACGCGCCGCCGUCCUCCUUCCCCGACGCCGGCCGCCGCCCACUACCACGCGCCGCCCUCCUCCUUCCCCGGCGCCGGCCACCUCCCUCCACUACGCGCCGCUCCUCCUUCCCCGGCGCCGGACGCCUCCUAACACCACACGCCGCCCUCCUCCUGCCCCGGCGCCGGCCGCCUGCCUCCACCACGCGCCGCCCUCCUCCAUCCCCUGCGCCGGCCACCUACAUCCAUCGCGCAGAUCCCGCCGCAGCCCCAAAACCUAAACGGCGCCGCCGCUGUCGUCCCGAACAGGAUCGACCCGCCGCUAUCGCUCUGCUGCCGUGUACAACUGUACACGCGGUUCAACGCCUCAGCCCCAGGCCGUUCAAUUCCUCGCCGGCCUGCGGCUCCUCCAUGGACGCCUAGCUCCUCUACUAGAGCCACUGCGGCCGACGGCAGCCCAUGGCGGCGGAGUUCGUUGCGUCCAUCAGUCCAACCCCAUGGCUUCAGGGUGGCCGAUUUUUGUCGCGGCCGUCAGUUCGGACACCUGUGUCACUGCGUGCGUUGCUACCACGGCCAUUUGCGUCACUACGUGCUCCGUCACCGGCCUCAUGCGCACCGUGACCCCUGGCGCACUCCUUCCUCUCCCUGACGCUGCUCGUGCCCUCCCAGGCUUGAUCUCCUGCUGCAGCGAUGAGCUCCUGUACAUUGCUGAAGUUUCGUACCUGACGGCACCAGCACGAGGAUGCAGCAGCCAGGCUGGACCCCGUGAACUGUGAUGCUCUACUGAUGGAGAGAAGUUUGGGAAACUGCACAAAUAUUGGUAUUUUGGGAGUUAUGAAUUUGGUGCUCCGUAGGUGCCUGCUGGUAUAUGCAAGUGCUUAAAAGUAUUUAGGUGGGUGGUCCGACACCGCUGUGUCCAGCAGUCCAACACCGCCACCGGAGGCCGUUCACUGUCGCAAUGCCUACUUUCGCCCGCGCCUCCUUCCCAGUCAUCGUGAGACCUGACGGAACAAGGCAGAACCUCUCUCUCGUACGCAUUCGACUCACAGAGCUAGUAAGUUCGACGAAAAAACAGCACAAGGCAUGUCAGUUCGCGCAGAGCAUAUCAGUCUUUCAGUUCGUGAGCUCAUCAGUUCACCGAUGGGAUCCGCAGCUCCCAGGCGGUUCACAACCGCCGCCCUAGUCCGUUCAUCACUGCCAAUCGAGGCCGUUCGACAACGCAGCGUUGAGGUCGGUCAACGACGCAAUGUGGCCAUGGAUGCGCCCAACGAAGGACAGCGAAAGGCAAAAAACAAACUAGUGCAGCUGCUUGCCUCCACUUCAUAUCCCAUACCAGAAAACAUCCGUCGGCCCCUCUGUUUUCUUAAUUCAGAUGAGGUUCCUUGCUGCCUGAUGGAUAUUUGAUAAAGUCAACAAGAGAUCGAUGUGUGUGGUGACAAAUUGCAGAAUUUCGAGUCGGACAAUUGCAAAAAUUCAGAGGAGACAACGCGGGAAGUUCAAAGAAAAUUCGGACUUGUGCAGUGGUGAAGGAGGAAGCAGCAGUGCCGCCGGGUCCAGGAUUCCAGGUGGUUCAACGUGUCGAGCGGUAGCAGCGCUUGCUCCCAAUGGUUGCCCGCGCAAGGAGGAUACAGGGAUGUUACAUUGCUGGAGGAGCAGUAGCAUGUAGUAGCUAGCUGAAGAAAAGCCAGCGGCCUGCUCUGGCCAUGCCGCACCACCACUGGCACGUCCACCAUGGUUGCUGGCAGCCGUCCAAGUUGAGCGCUGAUGGGAGUCCUUAGCGUGCUUCAACGACACUCUCAUAUCAAUCUCUCUCUUUCUUUGCUCCUGCUAUUAAAAUGUGUAGAUGUGCUGCUUUGCUAAUUGAGUAGUUGGGAAGAUGUGAAAAGAACAUGCUCUCUAGGUGUGUGAUUAUUCCUGUGAGCACAAAUGUAUUUAAAUGUUUAUUUUGUGCUUCAGCUUAUGCUUUUGGGCAGUACAAAUACAUCUUAAAAAAUAAGUAGAUGCGGUCUUAUAGAACUCUAAUUGUUGUUGGAUGCUAUUCCAAAUGCCAAUGAUCAUGCAAAACGGUUAUUGCUAGAAUCUAGAUGAUAUGUAAUGUAGUUACCAUAGUUUCACCCUAUUUUUAUGGUUCUAAUUAUUGUUGCAUAAGUCUUUAAAAGAAAUGUUUGGUAAAUGUUUGUGAUCAUUGCUUGUAGGUAUUCGUAUGAACAUUAAAAUAAUGGCUUUUCUUGUAGGAGGUUCAAAGAUUGUCGUGGAGCAAGUUCAAGAGAUUAGUUUGGUGAAAAUAAUGUGAUCUUUUGGUCAGGAUUUUGCAUGAUCCAUAGCCAUCAGGCGAGCAGUUCAAGGCCUACUACGCGAGACGUCCAUCGUCUUCUACCCAUGAUGAGCUUGUUGUCUCUAUACAUCUAGCAUCGGAGUAUCUCCUCCCCUUGCCGCACACACACGCCCGCGGUCGAGCUAGUGUUGUUUGUGAUUGCUGGUCGUGACUAUUACGUUGUCAUUGGACAAAUAAUUUGUUCUGUAACUCUGUAUUGAUGGGACCUUCAGCAUAUAUGGUGUUUAGAAUUUGUUUGUAACUGUACUGCCGGGACCUUCAGCAUAUAUGGUGAUCUCA
This is an RNA transcript of Triticum aestivum (bread wheat), 2734 nucleotides long. RefSeq lists it as uncharacterized. NCBI's taxonomy places the organism in Eukaryota, Viridiplantae, Streptophyta, Magnoliopsida, Poales, Poaceae. The record is from RefSeq and is a predicted model, not a curated record. The transcript is spliced from 11 exons.